AUUCCGGUUGAUCCUGCCGGAGGCCAUUGCUAUCGGAAUCCGAUUUAGCCAUGCUAGUCGCACGGGUUAGACCCGUGGCGAACAGCUCAGUAACACGUGGCCAAACUACCCUGUGGACGGGGAUAAUCUCGGGAAACUGAGGCUAAUCCCCGAUAGGGCUUCCAUCCUGGAGUGGGGGAAGUCCGAAAGGUUGCGCUGCGGCACCACAGGAUGUGGCUGCGGCCGAUUAGGUAGACGGUGGGGUAACGGCCCACCGUGCCAGUAAUCGGUACGGGUGAUGAGAGUCAGAGCCCGGAGACGGUAUCUGAGACAAGAUACCGGGCCCUACGGGGCGCAGCAGGCGCGAAACCUUUACACUGCACGACAGUGCGAUAGGGGGAUUCCGAGUGCGAGGGCAUACAGUCCUCGCUUUUCUGGAUCGUAAGGAGAUGCAAGAAUAAGGGCUGGGCAAGACCGGUGCCAGCCGCCGCGGUAAUACCGGCAGCCCGAGUGAUGGCCGAUAUUAUUGGGCCUAAAGCGUCCGUAGCU
RNAcentral lists this ribosomal RNA (528 nucleotides) under uncultured haloarchaeon. RNAcentral describes it as "bacterial SSU rRNA". It matches the Rfam family "Archaeal small subunit ribosomal RNA", at positions 1 to 526 of the family's 1478-position model. Lineage: Archaea; Methanobacteriati; Methanobacteriota; Halobacteria; Halobacteriales; Halobacteriaceae. The record is from RNAcentral.